UACGUAGGCAGCGAGCGUUGUUCGGAGUUACUGGGCGUAAAGAGUGCGUAGGCGGUUUUCUAAGUUUGGUGUGAAAUCUCCCGGCUCAACUGGGAGGUGCGCCGAAGACUGGAAGGCUUGAGUAUGGGAGAGGUAAGCGGAAUUCCUGGUGUAGCGGUGAAAUGCGUAGAUAUCAGGAGGAACACCUGCGGUGUAGACGGCUUACUGGACCAUAACUGACGCUGAGGCACGAAAGCGUGGGUAGCAAACAGG
RNAcentral lists this ribosomal RNA (252 nucleotides) under uncultured bacterium. RNAcentral describes it as "partial 16S ribosomal RNA". It matches the Rfam family "Bacterial small subunit ribosomal RNA", at positions 524 to 776 of the family's 1533-position model. The record is from RNAcentral.